CUAAGGAGCAUCUACACUGCUCGCUCUGAACAGUCAGGGUCGAGAGUGUCAGAGCCGUUCAUGUCCUCGAAUGUGGGACUGCGGUGCUCAUGGGUGGAACGCUGACAACCUCAUCGCAUCGAGCUGGUCCUGUGUGGCCGGCUCGCGGUGAUAUACCGACACACUAUUGGGUCCUGAAAGAACAGACGUUCUUUCCAGGCAAGAAACGAUCCGCUCGGAUCUCUUCGAUACCUCCGGCUUCGGCUGGUCAGGUCAUGGAAUCUGGUUCGAUGCGGGUGUGUUGUUUGAGAACUGCACAGUGGACGCGAGCAUCUUUGUUUUGUAAGUGUUUAAGAGCGUUC
This 341-nucleotide unclassified non-coding RNA is filed under the name Nocardia thailandica. Its description in RNAcentral is "16S-23S ribosomal RNA intergenic spacer". The record is from RNAcentral. Lineage: Bacteria; Bacillati; Actinomycetota; Actinomycetes; Mycobacteriales; Nocardiaceae.